AGACCGAAAAAUGAAAACCCCAACUUCACAAACCCUAGGGAUAUCUUCAAAACACCCUUUCCUAACCAUACAGUCGUCGCUCCUCUCAACCAGAUCAGCCGCCCACCACCAAAAAAAAGGAUCAGCAGCAAACACAAAAACCAAGUGACACACUUAUUCCCUUAUCUCUCGUCUUCCUCAAUAGAAGCCAUAGCCGUACACAAUCAAAAGGAAAAUCAAUCUCCUCUAGUCUUCAAUGGUAUUUCAAAUUCAAAAAUUCAUAAAGCAUCCCUAAUUUCUUCUUCUGGAUUUCGAUUUCAAAAAACAAGGUGAAGCUGGAAUAGGAGUCCGAUUAUGGGAGUUGCUGUUGGAGUUUUGUUUCCGGUCGAGUUCCGAUUCCAGUCCCGAAUUAGUUUGUUUUUGUCUUGUUCAUUUCCUGUUGCACGCUCAAAUUUCGGCGUUGGAAAUAUGUUUGUAUUCGCUUCUUCAGCUAAUUAACUGAGAAUUCAAUCUAAGGUAUGAAUCCAUUUACCAGAGCUCGAGCAUGACAGAUAUCCCAGGACCAUUCCAGUCUGGACCGUUGCAGACAUAAGUUGCUUGUGGAGACUUUUUAUAUUUCUGAGUCUGUUUUCAUGUUUUCUUUUACUUUCUAAUCCUGUCUAGUAGUGUUCAGUCCUUUAGUUGGUGUCAGAGUUUUUCGUAGUAUAGUUGAGUUCGUCGAAUCUUUUGUUAUCGUAUUUCCUAUUUUGUAUGUGAAAACCCAAAAAAAUUUAAAUAAAAAAAUCCAAAAAGUUUUUUUA
Nicotiana attenuata is the source of this 779-nucleotide long non-coding RNA. RefSeq lists it as uncharacterized. The record is from RefSeq and is a predicted model, not a curated record. Lineage: Eukaryota; Viridiplantae; Streptophyta; Magnoliopsida; Solanales; Solanaceae. The transcript has 2 exons.